RNAcentral lists this non-coding RNA (30 nucleotides) under Homo sapiens (human). The record is from RNAcentral. Lineage: Eukaryota; Metazoa; Chordata; Mammalia; Primates; Hominidae.
GCAGAGCCACUGAGUUCAGGGAGCAACUGA